UACGUAGGGCGCAAGCGUUAUCCGGAAUUAUUGGGCGUAAAGAGCUCGUAGGUGGUUUGUCGCGUUGUUCGUGAAAACUCACGACUCAAUUGUGGGCGUGCGGGCGAUACGGGCAGACUGGAGUACUGCAGGGGAGACUGGAAUUCCUGGUGUAGCGGUGGAAUGCGUAGAGAUCCGGAAGAACACCGGUGGCGAAGGCGGUCUGCUGGGCAGUAGCUGACACUGAGGCGCGACAGCGUGGGGAGCAAACAGG
RNAcentral lists this ribosomal RNA (253 nucleotides) under uncultured bacterium. Its description in RNAcentral is "partial 16S ribosomal RNA". It matches the Rfam family "Bacterial small subunit ribosomal RNA", at positions 524 to 776 of the family's 1533-position model. The record is from RNAcentral.